This 496-nucleotide ribosomal RNA is filed under the name uncultured bacterium. RNAcentral's name for it is "partial 16S ribosomal RNA". It matches the Rfam family "Bacterial small subunit ribosomal RNA", at positions 28 to 506 of the family's 1533-position model. The record is from RNAcentral.
GAUGAACGCUGGCGGCGUGCCUAAUACAUGCAAGUCGAGCGAACGGACGAGAAGCUUGCUUCUCUGAUGUUAGCGGCGGACGGGUGAGUAACACGUGGAUAACCUACCUAUAAGACUGGGAUAACUUCGGGAAACCGGAGCUAAUACCGGAUAAUAUUUUGAACCGCAUGGUUCAAAAGUGAAAGACGGUCUUGCUGUCACUUAUAGAUGGAUCCGCGCUGCAUUAGCUAGUUGGUAAGGUAACGGCUUACCAAGGCAACGAUGCAUAGCCGACCUGAGAGGGUGAUCGGCCACACUGGAACUGAGACACGGUCCAGACUCCUACGGGAGGCAGAAGUAGGGGAUCUUCCGCAAUGGGCGAAAGCCUGACGGAGCAACGCCGCGUGAGUGAUGAAGGUCUUCGGAUCGUAAAACUCUGUUAUUAGGGAAGAACAUAUGUGUAAGUAACUGUGCACAUCUUGACGGUACCUAAUCAGAAAGCCACGGCUAACUACGU